Molecule: ribosomal RNA, 443 nt
Filed under: uncultured bacterium
Lineage: Bacteria
Description: partial 16S ribosomal RNA
Rfam family: Bacterial small subunit ribosomal RNA
Source: RNAcentral
CCUACGGGAGGCAGCAGUGGGGAAUAUUGGGCAAUGGAGGAAACUCUGACCCAGCAACGCCGCGUGAAUGAUGAAGGUCUUCGGAUUGUAAAGUUCUUUUCUAAGGGAAGAAGAAAGUGACGGUACCUUAGGAAUAAGCCUCGGCUAACUACGUGCCAGCAGCCGCGGUAAUACGUAGGAGGCAAGUGUUAUCCGGAAUGACUGGGCGUAAAGGGUGCGUAGGUGGUUUGACAAGUUGGUAGCGUAACUCCGGGGCUCAACCUCGGCACUACUACCAAAACUGUCGGACUUGAGUGCAGGAGGGGCAAAUGGAAUUCCUAGUGUAGCGGUGAAAUGCAUAGAUAUCACGCAGAACUCCGAUUGCGAAGGCAGCAUACCGGCGCCCUACUGACGCUGAGGCACGAAAGCGUGGGUAUCGAACAGGAUUAGAUACCCCAGUAGUC